CAAGAACCCAAACAGCGAGCGCUGAAAUGGGGCGGCGUGCGGAUCCCUGCAGUAGGGGUAGGGAAGGAGCCCUGCGCCGGGAGGUGGCUAAUGUUGCAAACUGCAGCUUCGGGAACCCUGCGUGAGGGCCUCCUCCGAAAGGGGAAUCGACAGUUGAUUAGCAUGUUCCUGGAUAUAUCCAGCACAGAUUCUUGCUUCCUGAAAGCGCAAGUAGCUGGAAUUGGGAUAGGAACUCAGGCCUUUUACUCUUCCUGAGUUUGUUGAUAUCCUUCCCAUUCUUGUCAGGCUGCUGAAUAAUGAGGGAUCGUUGCUGGCCUACUCCGGUUAUGGGGACACAGAUGCCCGGGUCACCGCGGCCAUCGCCAGUAACAUCUGGGCCGCAUACGAUAGGAACGGGAACCAAGCGUUUAAUGAAGACAGUCUCAAAUUUAUCCUCAUGGACUGCAUGGAGGGCCGUGUAGCCAUUACCAGGGUGGCCAACCUUCUGCUAUGUAUGUAUGCCAAGGAGACUGUA
This 514-nucleotide long non-coding RNA is filed under the name Rattus norvegicus (Norway rat). Its description in RNAcentral is "long non-coding RNA NONRATT016574". The record is from RNAcentral. Lineage: Eukaryota; Metazoa; Chordata; Mammalia; Rodentia; Muridae.